This is a long non-coding RNA of Ictalurus punctatus (channel catfish), 2102 nucleotides long. The record is from Ensembl. Lineage: Eukaryota; Metazoa; Chordata; Actinopteri; Siluriformes; Ictaluridae.
GCAGGUUUGAGAAAGAACCAGCUGGAUCCUCAAUUAAAAAUAAAACUUGUUUAAUAAGGUGAGGUGCUGUAAAUAGGCACAAACAAAGAAGGCAAAGAACGACGCAUUAUAAACCUAAUAAUGUACACUAAUAUACAGAUCCAAAUACUAACAUAUAUGCGAUCAAAUGUAUAAAAUCAAAGUACAUUUCUAAAUACAUAAAAUAUGCCAAGUAUUAAUAACCCUUCACUUUAGCUUUCUCUAAAACAAGAACAGAAUCCCAAGUAAGCUGAUUUAGAACUGCUUUAUAACAAUCAGCUUCUGUUAAUCACUUUACAAAACUGAGAGUUGAUUGGUGAAAAUGUUCGGAAAACCUUUAGCACUGAUAGCAUCCUUUUGCUAACGUUAGCAAGCUGUAUUUCUGGUUAAAUGAGAGCUGAGUUCGUGAGAAUAAUGAGUUUUUGCUUGUUCAGGGUCAAAUGUAGUUGACGGUGAAGUGGCAGUCAGAGCUAGAUACUACCUGACAAUGAGCAGGAGCGAAGAACCACACAGGUUAAACUCUUCUAGCAUUUCUGUUGCUUUCCAGUGUGCAGUCCCUAAAAAAAUGUGGAUUUUUGAUACUGAAUUUUAUACUGGACCUGAAUGGUUAAGGACAGAUCUGGUUUGUUAGAGGAAUGCACUGAAAUGGAAGUCACCUGUCUGGCUAGUUUAAGUGGGGCUAGUUCAAAUAAGCCUUUCUAAAAAAUGUUUUUUGUUUUAUUUAAACCUUGCUUAAUACAAUACCAUACAAGACAUUUAAUUCAUUUAAUCCAUAAUCCCGAGAAGCAAUUCCCAUUCAUUUAAAAAAGGAAAAAUGUAUAAAUAAAAUGAAUAGCAUCUGUGAGUGGUGCUUUCAGCUUAAACAUUUGGAGGCACUGAUUGUGCUUAAUGACAAUUUGCAUAUAUUUUAGAAAUAGUAUUAUAGAAAAAAGUUUAAAUUAUAAUUAUUUUUGUUGCACUAAAUCAUUAACUGCAAUCAUUUUGCCCAUUCUAUUGAUGAGACCUUCAUGAGAAAAUUCUGCAAGAGCAAAGAAAAUGCUCGACUCGAGGGUGCACUUCUGCCACACUAAAUGCUCGGUCACAUUUAGACAUCACUAAUAGGCUUCUUUCUGGUGUGCAUCUCAGACGCACUUUAACACACAGAGCAGCAGUACGGCUUUUCCCCAGUGUGUAUCCCCUGGUACAGCUUAAGGUGGCUUGUUGUUGUGAAUCCUUUGCUGGCAGGCGGGGUGGCUGUAAGGCUUCUGUCCAGUGUGCAUUAGUUUGUACACUGUAAGAUGCUAUGACUGAUUCAGAGCUGCACCGAGGGUAGAUGUGUCGUACCGUUUUCCACAGAGAUCACAGUGGAAAGGCUUCUCUCCUCUGUGUGUUCUGUGGUGGAAUAUAAGACAUGAACAGUGAAGAAAUGUCUUCACACAUCGAGAGCACUGGUAAGGCUCUACUCGGGUGUGCACCCUUUGGUGCCUCCGCAGUUGUGAUCCUUGUGAAACGGUUUUCCUGACUAUGUGCACUGGUAAGGCUUCUCUGCAGCGUGCACUCUCUGUUGUCUACACAGUUUUUAUUGUUGUGAAAACUCUUUUCCAAACCGUGUCUAAUAGUAAUGCUUCUCUUCUGUAUGCACUUUUUGAUGUCUCCCAAAAGCAAAUGAACUUCUGAAACUCCUACUGCACCGGCUGCACUGAUACACCCUUCGUCCCUUACAAAGUGCAUUACGGUUGCCUGAAAGACGUAAUGCAUCGACGCUCUUCCCAAACGUAACUUUUCUGGGGGUCUUUCUUUUGAUCGUUUGUUCUUGUGAGGUACUUUUAUCCUCUUCAUCCUCAGAAGAUGACUGUCUGGACUUGCCUGCAAUUUCCCUCAGCUGUUGCUUUUCUGUUUUGUAAUUUGCUGCAAUCCUCCAGCCUGACUGAACUCAUCUUUAAUUGAGCCUGUAAUGUUUGCUGGUCUCCAUCAAACCUGCUGGAUUUACCUGAAAAACAUUUUCAAAAGAAGAAACGGUCGCUAAAGCAACAUCACCUUUUACCAAGUUUACCACGAAACUGGACAUUUCAUUCACAAACUAUAGCUUAUUUAGUCCAUGUGGU